CAGCAGCCACGGUAAUACGUAGGUGGCAAGCGUUGUCCGGAAUUAUUGAGCGUAAAGGGCUCGCAGGCGGUUUCUUAAGUCUGAUGUGAAAGCCCCCGGCUCAACCGGGGAGGGUCAUUGGAAACUGGGAAACUUGAGUGCAGAAGAGGAGAGUGGAAUUCCACGUGUAGCGGUGAAAUGCGUAGAGAUGUGGAGGAACACCAGUGGCGAAGGCGACUCUCUGGUCUGUAACUGACGCUGAGGAGCGAAAGCGUGGGGAGCGAACAGGAUUAGAGACCCCAGUAGUCCCUGUCUCUUAUAA
RNAcentral lists this ribosomal RNA (301 nucleotides) under uncultured bacterium. RNAcentral's name for it is "partial 16S ribosomal RNA". It matches the Rfam family "Bacterial small subunit ribosomal RNA", at positions 509 to 809 of the family's 1533-position model. The record is from RNAcentral.